RNAcentral lists this microRNA precursor (205 nucleotides) under Oryza barthii. RNAcentral's name for it is "MIR812 microRNA precursor family". It matches the Rfam family "MIR812 microRNA precursor family". The record is from Rfam by way of RNAcentral. Lineage: Eukaryota; Viridiplantae; Streptophyta; Magnoliopsida; Poales; Poaceae.
AAAAAGACAAACCCUGGUUUCCGUGUCCAACUUUUGACCGUCCGUCUUAUUUGAAAAAAUUAUAAAAAAAAUUAAAAAGACAAGUUACGCAUAAAAUAUUAAUCAUGUUUUAUCAUCUAACAACAAUCAAAAUUUAAAUUAUAAAAAAAUUUCAUAUAAGACGGAUAGUUAAAGUUGGACACAGAAAUCUAGAGUUUGCCUUUUU